CACCCAUUGCCAGUCGAGCGGGACGAGUUUCUGAACCUUCGGGGAACGAUAACGGCGUCGAGCGGCGGACGGGUGAGUAAUGCCUAGGAAAUUGCCCUGAUGUGGGGGAUAACCAUUGGAAACGAUGGCUAAUACCGCAUAACGCCUACGGGCCAAAGAGGGGGACCUUCGGGCCCUCUCGCGUCAGGAUAUGCCUAGGUGGGAUUAGCUAGUUGGUGAGGUAAGGGCUCACCAAGGCGACGAUCCCUAGCUGGUCUGAGAGGAUGAUCAGCCACACUGGAACUGAGACACGGUCCAGACUCCUACGGGAGGCAGCAGUGGGGAAUAUUGCAAAUGGGCGCAAGCCUGAUGCAGCCAUGCCGCGUGUGUGAAGAAGGCUUUCGGGUUGUAAAGCACUUUCAGUCGUGAGGAAGGAAGUGAGUUAAUAGCUGCGUUAUUUGACGUUCGCGACAGAAGAAGAACGGUUACUUCGUGCCAGCAGCCGCGGUAAUCCGGAGGGUGCGAGCGUUAAUCGAAUUCUGGCCUAAAGCGCAUGCAGUGGUUUGUUAUGUCAGAUGUAAAUCCGAGCUCCACCUCGAAUGCAUUUAAACUGUAGAUUGAGACCGUGAGAGGGUAGAAUUUAGUGUAGCGUCGAAUGCGUGAGAUCUGAAGGAUACGAUUGCGAGCGCCCCCGGCCGAUCUGAAUCAGAGCGAACCGGGGGCAUCGAUAGAACCUGGAGUCCCGUAUAAGUACUGAGUUGGCCUGCCGGCUCGGCGACUUAAGACUCCAGGUACCGCGGUAAUUUAAAUACGGGCCGCUUGCGCGAUUGAUAUCUGUCACCGGAUAUCACUCUCUAUUGAGUGCUCGAGAUGUUUUUUUUGAGCUGAAGUGCUGUCUUUGCAACAAGUACUAACUGUAACUCCCAUACGUCGCACGCAU
RNAcentral lists this ribosomal RNA (919 nucleotides) under bacterium Sty-1-10-1(b). Its description in RNAcentral is "bacterial SSU rRNA". The stretch from base 1 to 747 matches the Rfam family "Bacterial small subunit ribosomal RNA", at positions 50 to 873 of the family's 1533-position model. The record is from RNAcentral.